Long non-coding RNA from Archocentrus centrarchus (flier cichlid), 1167 nucleotides. RefSeq lists it as uncharacterized. The record is from RefSeq and is a predicted model, not a curated record. The transcript is spliced from 7 exons. Lineage: Eukaryota; Metazoa; Chordata; Actinopteri; Cichliformes; Cichlidae.
AGCGCAACACUUUCGUGACAUACUCGGAGACCUUCUCUCGGCAUAUCUAAGGGAAUGACUUCCCCACUUCUCAGUCUGCAAUUAUUGUCCCUUUCUGCCUUUUUAUUUUCUGCUGUUUCGUGGCUCCAGACGCGUAAAACAAGACGAGUCACCGCGGGCUUGAGGAAAUAUAACGCCGGCGGACUUGGACACCCCGGAGGAGACCCUCCAACUUUAACUUGAAUUGGCUUUGUGUGCAGGCUGGUUGGUCCGUCGGGUAAGAUUCUGUUCAUACUGGAGUGUCGAUCAGAAUUGCAACGAAGCAGCAGCAGCGUGUCCCACGAAAAGAUCCGUGUUAGCUGACAGAAACGCGGUGCUGUGUUAUUGCGACAUUCUCGCCAUGAAAGAGGAACACAACUGUCAGGAGCCAGAAGUCGAGUGAGUUCUUCUGAUUCAGAUGAACAGCAGUGUUCUGGAGGGAAUCAGUGGGUUUAUGGAGAGUUCACAAGUCCUGCAAGAUGACCGGGUGGGGGUGAGAGAGCUGCUCUGUGGGGCGGGUGAUCUGACGAGGAGGACGAGGAGCCACAAUGCCUCAGACAUUGUAAAGCAGAGAGGAUAUGUGGACAUACUGUGUGCAGCUACCGAUGGGUCCAGCACAGCAGAGAUCUCGGCACUUUAUCCAGGAUAGCUGAUUGCUGUGGUGUGGGCCAGUUGCUUCAAAGUCUCAGUGGAAUCAUUAUUAGAGAGUGACUUUAUUUUUCCCUGCCAGACAUCAAUAUCAAGCAUCGAGACGAGGAAACCUGAGAGGAGACGAGCUGACAGACCGCACAGACCUGCUCGGGGAAGAUGACCUGCCAAGCUCAAAUGACACACAGAGGAAGUAUUUUGACUAUGUUUUUAAAUUGUUUUUUAUUGCCACACCUUUCAUGCAUCAGAUUGUCUCUCUUUUAAAUGUAUAGAAUAAUAAGGAGCCUCGUGAUAUGAGCUGGGACUUUUCUGAGUGGAGUUUGCAUGUCCUCCAUGUGUUUGUGUGGGUUCUUUCUGGGUACUCUGCUCUGAUUCAGGAUGGACCCCCUUUUAGUGCAGGCUUCAGCUCCCCUGCGAUUCUUAAGUUUGAUAAGUGGUUAAGAAAAUGGAUUGAAUGAAACAUACAAAUAAAAAUUGGUUUAAAAAACAUAUCAAAAACAA